UAGAGGGUGAGGCCUGCCCAAUGGUUGUAUCUAAAAGCGGUUGAUAAAAGUCGACCUCGUAAGGACAAUUGAAUGGCCGCGGUAACACUGACCGUGAUAAUGUAGCGUAAUCAAUAGCCAAUUAAUUGUUGGCCAGUAUGAAUGGCGCCACGAAGGCCCCACUGUCUUAAGGAAAUUCCCAGUGAAAUUGAAUUCGUAGUGAAGAUGCUACGUCCAAUUUGUUAGACGAAAAGACCCCGUUGAGCUUUACUGGGGCACUUACACGGCCCCGGCCUUCCAAACUAGGCUUACCAUGCCUAGAGGUCGGCCGAAUUUAAAUGGGUGGUUUAGAUUAUGUGGCAGCCCCCCGUCGGGGCAGAUGAAACCCCACUCCCCCAUGUCAAAGGGGCUAACCCCCCCCCUUGGGGGGGGACAGUGUAAGUAGGACAGUUUGGUUGGGGCGACCGCCUUUUAAAGAGUAACGAAGGUGCGCUUAAGGUGCGCAAAUAAUGACUGAAGCCUGACUGCGAGGGGGACACCCCGAGCAGACACCCCCAAGCCUGCCCUAAGGGCGGCGGUGGGGUGGGCCAUAGUGACCCGUUAAUUUAGAGUGGAAUAGUUAACGAUCAACGAAUAAAAGUUACCACGGGGAUAACAGCGUAAUAUCGUUAGAGAGUUCACAUCGACGACGAUGUUUGCGACCUCGAUGUUGAA
This 693-nucleotide ribosomal RNA is filed under the name Hydrozoanthus gracilis. Its description in RNAcentral is "partial large subunit ribosomal RNA". It matches the Rfam family "Bacterial large subunit ribosomal RNA", at positions 1846 to 2536 of the family's 2925-position model. Lineage: Eukaryota; Metazoa; Cnidaria; Anthozoa; Zoantharia; Hydrozoanthidae. The record is from RNAcentral.